UACGUAGGGGGCAAGCGUUGUCCGGAUUUAUUGGGCGUAAAGAGCGUGUAGGCGGCCAGGUAGGUCUGCUGUGAAAACUCGAGGCUUAACCUCGAGCUGACGGCGGAAACCAUCUGGCUAGAGUCCGGAAGAGGAGAAUGGAAUUCCCGGUGUAGCGGUGAAAUGCGCAGAUAUCGGGAAGAACACCCGUGGCGAAGGCGGUUCUCUGGGACGGUACUGACGCUGAGACGCGAAAGCGUGGGGAGCGAACAGG
This 253-nucleotide ribosomal RNA is filed under the name uncultured bacterium. RNAcentral describes it as "partial 16S ribosomal RNA". It matches the Rfam family "Bacterial small subunit ribosomal RNA", at positions 524 to 776 of the family's 1533-position model. The record is from RNAcentral.